UACGGGGGGGGCAAGCGUUGUUCGGAAUUACUGGGCGUAAAGGGCUCGUAGGCGGCCAACUAAGUCGGAUGUGAAAUCCCCAGGCUUAACUUGGGAACUGCAUCCGAUACUGGAUGGCUUGAAUCCGGGAGAGGGAUGCGGAAUUCCAGGUGUAGCGGUGAAAUGCGUAGAUAUCUGGAGGAACACCGGUGGCGAAGGCGGCAUCCCGGACCGGCAUUGACGCUGAUGAGCGAAAGCCAGGGGAGCAAACGGG
Molecule: ribosomal RNA, 253 nt
Filed under: uncultured bacterium
Lineage: Bacteria
Description: partial 16S ribosomal RNA
Rfam family: Bacterial small subunit ribosomal RNA
Source: RNAcentral